CCUUUUUAUGCUUCUCUCCCACUCUCCUGGAGUUCUCCCAGAAUAAUAUGCUGAGAAUGUUGAUAAGGUUGGAAUUGCCCCAAGGCCUUGCACCAGGAGCAAAGACUUUGCUCCUAAAGCAGACAUUCAGAUCUGGAAAAUCUGAAAGAAGUAACUUCAGAAGGCCUUAUAAAAGAUGUGCACUAGGAAGAAGAAAAUCUAGAACCCUGAGUUAGCCUGGUGGGAAGGUCAGCCUCAGCUGAAGCCUCAACAGGCAGCUUGGAUGCUUCUUGACAUCUACACUAAGGUGAGUUCAAAGUGGG
Long non-coding RNA from Piliocolobus tephrosceles (Ugandan red Colobus), 302 nucleotides. RefSeq lists it as uncharacterized. The record is from RefSeq and is a predicted model, not a curated record. Lineage: Eukaryota; Metazoa; Chordata; Mammalia; Primates; Cercopithecidae. The transcript is spliced from 4 exons.